GACAGAGGGUGCAAACGUUGUUCGGAAUUACUGGGCGUAAAGCGCGUGUAGGCGGCCCUGCAAGUCGGAUGUGAAAUCCCACGGCUCAACCGUGGAAGUGCAUUCGAAACUGCAGGGCUAGAGUCCUGGAGAGGAAGGUGGAAUGCUUGGUGUAGAGGUGAAACUCGUAGAUAUCAAGCGGAACACCGGUGGCGAAGGCGGCCUUCUGGACAGUGACUGACGCUGAGACGCGAAAGCGUGGGGAGCAAACAGG
RNAcentral lists this ribosomal RNA (253 nucleotides) under uncultured bacterium. RNAcentral's name for it is "partial 16S ribosomal RNA". It matches the Rfam family "Bacterial small subunit ribosomal RNA", at positions 524 to 776 of the family's 1533-position model. The record is from RNAcentral.